UACAGAGGGGGCAAGCGUUGUUCGGAAUUACUGGGCGUAAAGGGCGCGUAGGCGGCCUGUUAAGUCGAACGUGAAAUCCCCAAGCUUAACUUGGGAACUGCAUCCGAUACUGGCAGGCUUGAAUUCGGGAGAGGGAUGUGGAAUUCCAGGUGUAGCGGUGAAAUGCGUAGAUAUCUGGAGGAACACCGGUGGCGAAGGCGGCAUCCUGGACCGAAAUUGACGCUGAUGCGCGAAAGCCAGGGGAGCAAACGGG
Molecule: ribosomal RNA, 253 nt
Filed under: uncultured bacterium
Lineage: Bacteria
Description: partial 16S ribosomal RNA
Rfam family: Bacterial small subunit ribosomal RNA
Source: RNAcentral